CAGCCCGUGAGGUCUGGUCUGGAGGAAGCCGCUAGCAAAGCUGCGAGCUGAUGAACAAGAACAUCCUAUGAGGCGUAGGCUGGAGGCGAGUUGGCAUAAGACAACGAAGCCACGUGAUCUGACGGCCACCGUAAAGGAUGCAGUUGCGCAGUGACAGUUCAUGUC
Endozoicomonas numazuensis is the source of this 165-nucleotide non-coding RNA. NCBI's taxonomy places the organism in Bacteria, Pseudomonadati, Pseudomonadota, Gammaproteobacteria, Oceanospirillales, Endozoicomonadaceae. The record is from Rfam.